RNAcentral lists this long non-coding RNA (1346 nucleotides) under Zea mays. Its description in RNAcentral is "long non-coding RNA NONZMAT004556". The record is from RNAcentral. Lineage: Eukaryota; Viridiplantae; Streptophyta; Magnoliopsida; Poales; Poaceae.
UACCUUCUAGAUUUUCAGAGAGACACUUAGAAUUUUGUGGACUAAUAUGACUGUUCCACCACCUUGAGCGGGAUUUUCUUGAGUGCACCUUUCUUUUCAUCUUCACCAAAAUAUAAGAAAAUCUCCUCUGAUAUGCAGAGCUAAUUGAAAUUCAAAAGGAACAGUGAGUAGUUAAAAUGAUGUGCAUGAUGCAAGCAACAUGACUAGCCUUGUUAAGAAGGCUGCAAGUGCAGGAGCAAUAGAACCCCAUGCAACCUAUAAGAAACUUAAGAUAGUCGACUAAAUCGUUUCAGUAGUUAUAAUAAUGUAAUCCAUGAAAGAAAGCGAAAAAUUACUAAAAAUCUUUAAAAUACAAAAAUGUGUAACUGCUGCCACAGACCCAUAACAAGUAAUGGUCUUAAUUUCAGUUUUGAUUAAGUAACUACAACUUACAUGUACAAACAAAAUAAAUAUAUGCAAUACUCUAGCCAACAGAGUUAAUCUUGCCUGCUCUAUACAACAUGACAAUUACUAAUAAAUUAUCUGAGAUAAGAGAAGCCUUAUCCUAGAAAUAAGGAUGGCAUGCAGCAGGACUAGAAUUCUGAUGCAUGCCAGGGACACAAAAAGUGUCACAUAAUGGCUACCAAGAAGAGGCAAGGCAUCAUUUCACUAUGAUCUUAACAGCAACGCUGUCAUGAAGCCCAAGGCAAGUAAUAAUCUGCUAUCCAAAAAAAGUAGCAUACAAGGAUUGAAUGACAAUGACCCUUUCUCUUCCUGAAAGGAACAUACUAUUUUAAGAAGACAUUUGAAAAUAGAUAAAAUAUGCAAUCUGAUUUUGGAGAAAAUAUGCAUUAUAUAUCAGGAUUAACAUAAGAGAGGGCCCGCCACAAAUAUUUUCAUGCUUUCUGAGCAGUUUUGUCAGGAAAAAAGGUUAUACAUGUAUAUUGGGACAUUUAGAAUUUGAUGAGAAUGAAGUUGAUCAGACCUUGUAUAACGAUCAUUUGUUUACAUUAUGAAAGGAAUCAUACUUGUUUACCACCAUUGACAAGUCCAAGUGCAAAAGACGCUGCAACUAGAGCUCUAGAGGGGUUAGGUGGGUCAGGGAACUAGAUUCAAUAAUCUGGGAAUGAACUGAAACAUAGACAAGAAGAAUGGACAACACAAGGUACCCCACAUUGAUCAAAACUUGAGGAUUGAAGCAAGAUGCCGCGAACUCACAACCAAAAAUGUACUUGUCAAUGUCCAGCAAUGAGACCACUCAAUUUAAUACUAUUAUUAAGUAUCUAGGAUCCGCCAAACAAACAUGGCAGGGCUCACACCUAGAUGUGCACAUGGAAGCCUGAGGUGAUGGUCAUUAUCCCUGAGUG